AACGGCGAGUGAAGCGGCAAGAGCUCAAAUUUGAAAUCUGGCCUCCCCCGGGGGCCCGAGUUGUAAUUUGCAGAGGAUGUUUCGGGUGCGGCCGCCGUCUAAGUUCCUUGGAACAGGACGUCAGAGAGGGUGAGAAUCCCGUCUUGGGCGGGCGGUCCGCGCCCGUGUGAAGCUCCUUCGACGAGUCGAGUUGUUUGGGAAUGCAGCUCUAAGCGGGUGGUAAAUUUCAUCUAAAGCUAAAUAUUGGCCGGAGACCGAUAGCGCACAAGUAGAGUGAUCGAAAGGUUAAAAGCACCUUGAAAAGGGAGUUAAACAGCACGUGAAAUUGUUGAAAGGGAAGCGCUUGCGGCCAGACUCGGGGGCGGGGUUCAGCGGGUGCUCGUCGCCCGUGUAUUCCUCGUUUCCCGGGCCAGCAUCAGUUUCGACGGCCGGUCAAAGGCCCCCGGAAUGUGUCGUCUCUCGGGACGUCUUAUAGCCGGGGGUGCAAUGCGGCCCGUCGGGACUGAGGAACGCGCUCCGGCUCGGAUGCUGGCGUAAUGGCCGUAAGCGGCCCGUCUUGAAACACGGACCAAGGAGUCUAACAUCCACGCGAGUGUUCGGGUGUCAAACCCGUGCGCGCAGUGAAAGCGAACGGAGGUGGGAGCCCUAGGGCGCACCAUCGACCGAUCCUGAAGUCUUCGGAUGGAUUUGAGUAGGAGCGUGGCCGUUGGGACCCGAAAGAUGGUGAACUAUGCCUGAAUAGGGUGAAGCCAGAGGAAAAUCUGGUGGAGGCUCGCAGCGGUUCUGACGUGCAAAUCGAUCGUCAAAUUU
Molecule: ribosomal RNA, 810 nt
Filed under: Trichophyton tonsurans
Lineage: Eukaryota; Fungi; Ascomycota; Eurotiomycetes; Onygenales; Arthrodermataceae
Description: eukaryotic LSU rRNA
Rfam family: Eukaryotic large subunit ribosomal RNA
Source: RNAcentral